Helianthus annuus (common sunflower) is the source of this 1522-nucleotide long non-coding RNA. RefSeq lists it as uncharacterized. The transcript is spliced from 7 exons. The record is from RefSeq and is a predicted model, not a curated record. NCBI's taxonomy places the organism in Eukaryota, Viridiplantae, Streptophyta, Magnoliopsida, Asterales, Asteraceae.
GCACGGGCGUGCUUAUAGCACUAGUACACAAGGCUUUUGUUGGUGCGAUGCAGUUUAUAUUGAUGGUGCGGUUCACUCAAACACCGCACCUUUACAUCUUGCUUUACAAAUUUCACCAACUUUAAAUCUUCCAUUUACAUUUUCCCCCCUUUUGUUGCCCUGUUCCCGCUUGUUUCCAUUUACGUUUUCCCUCCCUCAUGAAUUUCUCACCCUCACAAACCCUAAUCGAACCCCAACCCCCUCUAUUACAUCCAUCUGGUUCCCUUUAGCACCUCUCACUACUACCUUCCAGUGCACCAUCGUUGCCCUCUAUUGCACCGUCGUUUCCCUUUAGUUCAGCGCAUCUCUACUGUCCGUUGUGUCCAGUUGUCCACUAAGUUCAUAUGAGUUGAGUUGGAAAUGGUGAAGAUUCAUGUACUUGCAAAGGAUAAAAGUUGGAACUGUUGAAUGCGCUUCAGGAGCAAAGUUUUGAGAGGGUAAAUGUUAACAUAAGCAAAACCAAAUCCAUUAGUUAUUGAUUUGAUUAGAGUAUUCUGCCCUUCAAUUUGAGGUAAUUAUUGGUUUAAAAAUCAAGUCAGGUAUUUUUAAAUCGGGUUUUCUUUGUCUAACUGAGACCGAGAUCGGGGUUAUAUGAAACAUGGGACCGAAGAGCACCAAAUGCAAUCCUAUUCUGUUUGCGAGUCAAGUAAGGUCUAACAGGUAUAUGAAUUAAAUCCUGGUAAUGUCUCUUCAAUUAACCGGGUUUGCGAGUCAAGUAAGGUCUAACAGAGAUAAACAAACCUUAUGUCUUUAAUAACAACUUUUAGGAAAUCCUUUUUUUUUGCAGAAAUAUGAAGCACAAGGCGGGUCUGAGUUUUUCUUUGUCAUCAACAUACAGCCAUCACGAUUGAUUGGAACUAAAUCGUUUGGAUGUGUUUUUGUUGAAGAAAAGGACUUCAUGCAUGGCUUCAAGUUACGGGAAGAAGAUGUGAAACUUCCGCAAUACAAAAAUGACGAUUUAGUCUUAAAUUUAAUCCCGGAAUUGAUUUCAAGGCGUUUGAUGGCCCAGAAUGAAAUUGUGAAAAGCGUCUCAAGGUUCUUAAAGAAAAUCAGAGGAAUUUGGUGGUUUGAAGUGGUAGUGGAUGGGUUUCAUCAUAGAGCACGGGGACAUCUGAAGGUGGGUUCUGUUUUGUGACCUAUGUCACUGCAGCUUAAACACCCUGCUUCUGGGAUGUGGGUCGGACACAGGCAUGCCUUUGAGAUUUUCAAAACUGGUUUUUAAGUUUCAACUUUAUUUUAAGAAAACUAAUAUUUUAUUUGUUUGUAUCUAGGCACGGGCGUGCUCAUCUGGCAGUUUUUUGAAAAUUUUAACUUUGUCGAGUUUUGAAAGUUCGUUCCACCACUUAUUCGAUCUACAUGUCUAGGAAACUUACCUUUCAGAUUUCAACACAUGGAAACUUUUUGUAUGUGUUGAAGAAAAAACUGAUCAUUCUGAAGAUGACAAAGUCAACGGGUCUCUAAGAAGGAAGAUAUAAGACAAUAG